UACGAAGGGGGCUAGCGUUGUUCGGAUUUACUGGGCGUAAAGCGCACGUAGGCGGAUCGUUAAGUCGGGGGUGAAAUCCUGGAGCUCAACUCCAGAACUGCCUUCGAUACUGGCGAUCUCGAGUCCGGGAGAGGUGAGUGGAACUGCGAGUGUAGAGGUGAAAUUCGUAGAUAUUCGCAAGAACACCAGUGGCGAAGGCGGCUCACUGGCCCGGUACUGACGCUGAGGUGCGAAAGCCGUGGGGAGCAAA
Molecule: ribosomal RNA, 250 nt
Filed under: uncultured bacterium
Lineage: Bacteria
Description: partial 16S ribosomal RNA
Rfam family: Bacterial small subunit ribosomal RNA
Source: RNAcentral